UCCUGAAAGAAGUCAGCUGCACAGCAAGGAAACCAAAAAGGCUCAAGUGCCUAGGGAGCAUCACGAAGCACCAUGUGGCUCCUGUGGGUCUCUGCUGUCUCUCCUCUCAGGCAAGGGUCUCUGAAAUGAGAGGGAUGUGGCCAGUGUGGGAUGUGGCUCCAGCAAGGGGACGCGUUUGAUGGUGACAAGGAAAGCAAGGACUGUGGCCAGCUCUGGAGGAGCGUGAGAGAAUUCCAACUCUUUCAGUAAGGAGGACUUCUGUGCAUUCAAAGCAUGUGAAGUGGGGAACACCUGCUAUGUCAGCUGGUACUAAUGGAGAGAGGAACCUAUACUUCAGUUACUUAUGUGCUAUAAAAUGUCCCACUUGUGUUCUUUAAAGCUGCUUAAUUACAUUAACAGAAGGUCCUUUCCACAUUCUCCAGUUCAGGCAAACACAUCCACUUCACUGCA
Molecule: long non-coding RNA, 450 nt
Organism: Ficedula albicollis (Collared flycatcher)
Lineage: Eukaryota; Metazoa; Chordata; Aves; Passeriformes; Muscicapidae
Exons: 3
Source: RefSeq, a predicted model, not a curated record